UAGCUGGUGCAAGUCCAGCCGGGGAAAAGGCCAAGCUGCCUCGUAGCUAGCAGGCAAUUCAUGGCGAAAUCCAGAAGCCCUGCGAAAAGCAUGCAAGAAGCAUGUGAAGCAACUCCGCAGGCCACUACACCA
Non-coding RNA from Thermobacillus composti KWC4, 132 nucleotides. The record is from Rfam. Lineage: Bacteria; Bacillati; Bacillota; Bacilli; Caryophanales; Paenibacillaceae.